Molecule: ribosomal RNA, 119 nt
Filed under: Helianthus annuus (common sunflower)
Lineage: Eukaryota; Viridiplantae; Streptophyta; Magnoliopsida; Asterales; Asteraceae
Source: RNAcentral
GGUUGCGAUCAUACCAGCACUAGCACCGGAUCCUAUCAGAACUCCGCAGUUAAGCGUGCUUGGGCGAGAAUAGUACUAGGAUGGGUGACCCCCUGGGAAAGUCCUCGUGUUUGCAACCC